UAGAAGUGGCCAUGGCGCAAUAGCAGGGUGUUCCUGCAAGUUUUGAAAAAUCAAAUUAAUGUCAACAUUUGUUUAUCGUUUAUUCUGUGUGUUUCAAUCACAAUAACGCAUUGUGACAUUCACCAGGCUACGAAGGGAGUCCUAAGCAUAGAUGGUCCGUCAGAAAUUCUGACGUAUAUUAUAUACUUUUGUGUGUUUGCUGUCGUAUGAUUACAAUUCAUGAAAUUAUUUUCAACAUAAAUAUAGUAGCUUGAUUGAAAAUGGAAAUAAAAAGCACGAAAGAAUCAUCAACUGCACAGCUGCGGGCACUAGUUGGAUAUAUGGAGGAGAAUCCUGAGUUCGCCAGACGAGUGCCAACUUUUGGAAGCAGCAAGCAACCCCUUGAAGACCACUGGAAAAAAUUAUGUUUCAAAUUAAAUACCAUGGGUUCUCCUUCUCGCGCAAUUGCAGAGUGGAAAAAUGAAAGUCAGAAAACUCGGUUUAAUCUAUUUGUCUAACCGGCACUAUUAUUUACAGGCUUGGACUAAUCUAAAGUCCCGCACAAAUAAGAAAAUAGCUGAAAACAAAAAAAAAAAAAGGUUGCAAGGAACAGGUGUCGGUUUAUACCGAUUUGAGUGUCUGACGGACCUGGAAACAAAAUUGACCGGAUAAUCUUCUUAUCGAAGUCAGCAGUACCAAGCGGUAAAACUUUUGGCUAUGCAGACGACAUCGACUACUGCUUCGAGGAAUUGGAUACAACACCAUCAAGACCGUAGCAGUAGUAACACCUACCAGGCCGUUAAGUGAAGAAAGUUUUCACUAUUUUUCGCCAGAAACACAUGUCUAACAACAAUAACAAAUAAACGUACAAA
Molecule: long non-coding RNA, 851 nt
Organism: Musca domestica (house fly)
Lineage: Eukaryota; Metazoa; Arthropoda; Insecta; Diptera; Muscidae
Exons: 2
Source: RefSeq, a predicted model, not a curated record